RNAcentral lists this ribosomal RNA (372 nucleotides) under uncultured organism. Its description in RNAcentral is "partial 16S ribosomal RNA". It matches the Rfam family "Bacterial small subunit ribosomal RNA", at positions 527 to 896 of the family's 1533-position model. The record is from RNAcentral.
GUAGGUGGCAAGCGCUGUCCGGAAUUAUUGGGCGUAAAGCGCGCGCAGGCGGUUCUUUAAGUCUGAUGUGAAAGCCCACGGCUCAACCGUGGAGGGUCAUUGGAAACUGGAGAACUUGAGUACAGAAGAGGAAAGCGGAAUUCCACGUGUAGCGGUGAAAUGCGUAGAGAUGUGGAGGAACACCAGUGGCGAAGGCGGCUUUCUGGUCUGUAACUGACGCUGAGGCGCGAAAGCGUGGGGGAGCAAACAGGAUUAGAUACCCUGGUAGUCCACGCCGUAAACGAUGAGUGCUAAGUGUUAGGGGGUUUUCCGCCCCUUAGUGCUGCAGCUAACGCAUUAAGCACUCCGCCUGGGAGUACGGCCGCAAGGCUG